AGCGAGGAGCUAGAAUGACUUGUCAGCCACCUUUGAGCAAGAACUUGCCUGGAGUCCAAAUGUAUGGCUAUUGAAGGAUAGUAAGCAGACAGCACUAAAAGUCAUCCAUUCGUUAUGGAUUUAGUCUUAAGACCCUCAUUUGAGAGAUGCCUUCCCUGUACCUGGAGGAAAGAAACAUCUUUAUCUCUGAAGACACAGGGCCACAGAGAAGAGUCUGAACAAACAGGCUUUACCAAUUUCCCCCAGUUGUUACCGUUAGAUC
RNAcentral lists this long non-coding RNA (262 nucleotides) under Homo sapiens (human). RNAcentral describes it as "non-protein coding lnc-URB2-1:7". Lineage: Eukaryota; Metazoa; Chordata; Mammalia; Primates; Hominidae. The record is from RNAcentral.